Molecule: ribosomal RNA, 1236 nt
Filed under: metagenome
Description: bacterial LSU rRNA
Rfam family: Bacterial large subunit ribosomal RNA
Source: RNAcentral
UGAAUACGAGGCACUAAGGUGCUGAAGUAGUGUAUGUCAUACUUCCAAGAAAAGCUUGCACUAUCGUAAGAUAAAAAUGCCUGUACCAUAACCGACACAGGUGGGUAGGUAGAGUAUACUAAGGGGCGCGAGAUAACUCUCUCUAAGGAACUCGGCAAAAUAACUCCGUAACUUCGGGAGAAGGAGUGCCUUAUUCUAUAAGGUUGCAAUAACAAGAUCCAAGCAACUGUUUAUCAAAAACACAGGUCUCCGCUAAGUCGUAAGACGAUGUAUGGGGGCUGACGCCUGCCCAGUGCCAGAAGGUUAAAGAAGUCGGUUAGCAAUUGCGAAGCUGGUAACUGAAGCCCUGGUGAACGGCGGCCGUAACGAUAACGGUCCUAAGGUAGCGAAAUUCCUUGUCGGGUAAGUUCCGACCCGCACGAAAGGCGUAAUGAUUUGGAUACUGUCUCGGAGAGGGACUCGGUGAAAUAGACUUGUCUGUGAAGAUGCGGACUACCUGCACCAGGACAGAAAGACCCUAUGAAGCUUUACUGUAACUUGAAAUUGAAAUUGGACUUUAUUCGCGCAGUAUAGGUGGGAGGCGUUGAUUAUAAUCUUGUGGGAUUAUUGGAGCCAUUAGUGAGAUACCACUCUUGUAAUGUUAGAUUUCUAACUUUGAAUCAUGAUCUGGUCAAAGAACAGUUUCAGGCGGGCAGUUUGACUGGGGCGGUCGCCUCCUAAAUGGUAACGGAGGCGUACAAAGGUUUCCUCUGAACGGGUAGAAAUCGUAUCUAGAGUGUAAAGGCAUAAGGAAGCUUGACUGUGAGACCUACAAGUCGAGCAGGGACGAAAGUCGGUCUUAGUGAUCUGACGGUACUGAGUGGAAAGGCCGUCACUCAACGGAUAAAAGUUACUCUAAGGAUAACAGGCUGAUCUCCCCCAAGAGUUCACAUCGACGGGGAGGUUUGGCACCUCGAUGUCGGCUCAUCGCAUCCUGGGGCGGUAGUACGUCCCAAGGGUUGGGCUGUUCGCCCAUGAAAGCGGUACGCGAGCUGGGUUCAGAACGUCGUGAGACAGUUCGGUCCAUAUCCGGUGUAGGCGUUAGAAUAUUGAGAGGAGCCUUCUUUAGUACGAGAGGACCGAGAAGGACAUACCUCUGGUGUACCAGUUAUCGUGCCAACGGUAAACGCUGGGUAGCUAUGUAUGGAGUGGAUAACCGCUGAAAGCAUCAAAGUGGGAAGCCCACCUCAAGAUAAG